UUUUAAUUGAAGGCUUGUAUGAAAGGUUGGACAAGGGAUAAGCUGUCUUUGUUUUUAUUUUUGAAUUUGUCUUUUAAGUGAAAAGACUUAAAUAGUUUUAAGGGACGAUAAGACCCUAUAAAUCUUUAUAUUAAUAUUUUUUUAUUUGAGUUUUUAAUGUUUAUAAAAAUAAAAUUGUAGAAUAUUAUAUUGGGGUGAUAAGAAUAAUAAGAAUAAACUGUUCUAAGGUCUAAACAAAGUUAUUUGAGUAAAGAUUUGUGGAUCCUUUUUGUAGAUUAAAAGUUUAAGUUACUUUAGGGAUAACAGCGUUAUUUUUUUUGAGAGUUCUAAUCGAAAAAAAAGUUUGCGACCUCGAUGUUGAAUUAAAAUUUCUUUAUGGUGCAGCAGCUAUAAGAGAAAGUCUGUUCGACUUUUAAAAUUUUACGUGAUCU
Molecule: ribosomal RNA, 431 nt
Filed under: Galathea maculiabdominalis
Lineage: Eukaryota; Metazoa; Arthropoda; Malacostraca; Decapoda; Galatheidae
Description: partial 16S ribosomal RNA
Rfam family: Bacterial large subunit ribosomal RNA (bases 299-431)
Source: RNAcentral